RNAcentral lists this transfer RNA (74 nucleotides) under Bacteriophage sp. Its description in RNAcentral is "tRNA-Trp". It matches the Rfam family "tRNA". From Rfam's summary of the family: Transfer RNA (tRNA) molecules are approximately 80 nucleotides in length. Their secondary structure includes four short double-helical elements and three loops (D, anti-codon, and T loops). Further hydrogen bonds mediate the characteristic L-shaped molecular structure. tRNAs have two regions of fundamental functional importance: the anti-codon, which is responsible for specific mRNA codon recognition, and the 3' end, to which the tRNAs corresponding amino acid is attached (by aminoacyl-tRNA synthetases). tRNAs cope with the degeneracy of the genetic code in two manners: having more than one tRNA (with a specific anti-codon) for a particular amino acid; and 'wobble' base-pairing, i.e. permitting non-standard base-pairing at the 3rd anti-codon position. The record is from RNAcentral. RNAcentral also lists the same sequence under 1 other name.
GCACCUUUGGUGUAAUUGGUAACACGAUGGUCUCCAAAACCAUAGUUUAGAGUUCAAGUCUUUAAGGGUGUGCA